ACCAGACUCCUACGGGAGGCAGCAGUGGGGAAUAUUGCACAAUGGGGGAAACCCUGAUGCAGCGACGCCGCGUGUGGGAAGACGGUCCUCUGGAUUGUAAACCACUGUCCCCAGGGACGAAAAUGACGGUACCUGGGGAGGAAGCUCCGGCUAACUACGUGCCAGCAGCCGCGGUAAUACGGAGGAUGCGAGCGUUAUCCGGAUUUAUUGGGUUUAAAGGGUGCGUAGGCGGUAUUUUAAGUUAGUGGUAAAACGUCGGGGCUUCACCUUGAUUGGCCAUUAAAACUGGAGUACUAGAGUACAGACGAGGUAGGCGGAAUAAGUUAAGUAGCGGUGAAAUGCUUAGAUAUAACUUAGAACCCCGAUAGCGAAGGCAGCUUACCAGACUGUUACUGACGCUGAAGCACGAGAGCGUGGGUAGCGAACAGGAUUAGAUACCCCUGUAGU
This 447-nucleotide ribosomal RNA is filed under the name uncultured bacterium. RNAcentral describes it as "bacterial SSU rRNA". It matches the Rfam family "Bacterial small subunit ribosomal RNA", at positions 330 to 794 of the family's 1533-position model. The record is from RNAcentral.